RNAcentral lists this ribosomal RNA (253 nucleotides) under uncultured bacterium. RNAcentral's name for it is "partial 16S ribosomal RNA". It matches the Rfam family "Bacterial small subunit ribosomal RNA", at positions 524 to 776 of the family's 1533-position model. The record is from RNAcentral.
UACGGGGGGGGCAAGCGUUGUUCGGAAUUACUGGGCGGAAAGGGUUUGUAGGUGGUCUGUUAAGUCAGACGUGAAAUCCCUCAGCUUAACUGGGGAACUGCGUCUGAGACUGAUGGACUUGAGGGCAGGAGAGGAACGCGGAAUUCCAGGUGUAGCGGUGAAAUGCGUAGAUAUCUGGAGGAACACCGGUGGCGAAGGCGGCGUUCUGGACUGUUUCUGACACUGUAAAACGAAAGCCAGGGGAGCAAACGGG